Molecule: ribosomal RNA, 469 nt
Filed under: uncultured bacterium
Lineage: Bacteria
Description: partial 16S ribosomal RNA
Rfam family: Bacterial small subunit ribosomal RNA
Source: RNAcentral
UGGGGAAUUUUGGACAAUGGGCGAAAGCCUGAUCCAGCAAUGCCGCGUGUGUGAAGAAGGCCUUCGGGUUGUAAAGCACUUUUGUCCGGAAAGAAAUCCUUGGCUCUAAUACAGUCGGGGGAUGACGGUACCGGAAGAAUAAGCACCGGCUAACUACGUGCCAGCAGCCGCGGUAAUACGUAGGGUGCAAGCGUUAAUCGGAAUUACUGGGCGUAAAGCGUGCGCAGGCGGUUUGCUAAGACCGAUGUGAAAUCCCCGGGCUCAACCUGGGAACUGCAUUGGUGACUGGCAGGCUAGAGUAUGGCAGAGGGGGGUAGAAUUCCACGUGUAGCAGUGAAAUGCGUAGAGAUGUGGAGGAAUACCGAUGGCGAAGGCAGCCCCCUGGGCCAAAUACUGACGCUCAUGCACGAAAAGCGUGGGGAGCAAAACAGGAUUAGAUACCCUGGUAGUCCACGCCCUAAAACGAUGU